AUUGAACGCUGGCGGCAUGCCUUACACAUGCAAGUCGAGCGGCAGCGCGGGGGCAACCCUGGCGGCGAGCGGCGAACGGGUGAGUAAUGCAUCGGAACGUGUCCUCUUGUGGGGGAUAACCAGUCGAAAGACUGGCUAAUACCGCAUGAGAUCGAGAGAUGAAAGCGGGGGACCGCAAGGCCUCGCGCGAGAGGAGCGGCCGAUGCCCGAUUAGCUAGUUGGUGGGGUAAUGGCCUACCAAGGCGACGAUCGGUAGCUGGUCUGGGAGGACGACCAGCCACACUGGGACUGAGACACGGCCCAGACUCCUACGGGAGGCAGCAGU
Molecule: ribosomal RNA, 325 nt
Filed under: uncultured bacterium
Lineage: Bacteria
Description: bacterial SSU rRNA
Rfam family: Bacterial small subunit ribosomal RNA
Source: RNAcentral